Asparagus officinalis (garden asparagus) is the source of this 339-nucleotide long non-coding RNA. RefSeq lists it as uncharacterized. The transcript is spliced from 3 exons. The record is from RefSeq and is a predicted model, not a curated record. Lineage: Eukaryota; Viridiplantae; Streptophyta; Magnoliopsida; Asparagales; Asparagaceae.
UGCCAGAAUUCAAAAAAGGGGGGAGGCGAUCUCUGGAGACCAAAACAACUCGAAUCCGAUAUCAUGGAUUUUUUCGGCCCUCUUUCAUUCGCUCCGAUCACCACCACGCAGAAACUCCAUAAAAUUUAAUGUGAUUAUUGAAGGAAUAAGAAUCAGAAAGAAGAACUUUUGAUCGAUCUCUUGAGACCUUAAAAAAAACUUCGCUGGGAUUGGAGAUUGAUUACGUCAGAGAUGAUGAUGGAUGGAUUGAAUUGGAGUGUCAACUCGGUUUAUCACAUUUAUGAAACAGUAAAUUUAUUUUAUUUUUUAUAUUUAAAUUUUAGAUAAAUAUUUUCACAC